Molecule: long non-coding RNA, 674 nt
Organism: Bolinopsis microptera
Lineage: Eukaryota; Metazoa; Ctenophora; Tentaculata; Lobata; Bolinopsidae
Exons: 3
Source: RefSeq, a predicted model, not a curated record
UUGGCCCGGUAAUAACUUAAUAAUGAGCCGAGAAUAAGGGUUAAAGUUCGGUAUCCAUAAUGGAGACUGAGAGGAAGAUAUUGUCGAAGUAUCCCCUCACUUGACUCAUCGUUAUGAUAUCUGACCAUAAUGAAAAAAAAAGACUUCGCACAUGCAGUCCAUGUUCUAGUUCUUGGUCUGCACUCUGCAAUCUACCAUGAGACUGUAGAAAUCCGAUGAUUGUUUCCUGGAUCUAACUUCAUAAAAGUAUUCCCAUUUGAACCUACAGCAGAACCUCAACAUCCAGCAUAACCUCAACCCUCGUCUGAACCUCCACCUCGAAAAGAACUCCUUCGAACUCCUUUUAGAACCCCUUCUGCUAAGAAGAGAAGAUACAAUAUAGACAAUCUUGACGGGUUGGCACCCUUGAUAGCUGUGCACAGGGUAAAUAACAAAGUAUGCGCUAGACUUACCUGUAAAUAUAACGAGUUUAUGGAGUUUGACAAGCAGUUUACAGUAAAGAAGGUGAGAGGAAUUGUGCAGCGAUCUAAAGAGAAUGCGUUAGAAUAGCCUUGGAAUCUGACAGUGGAGUCGCUCUACUUUGACAGGAAAAAGGAUAAAGGUACGUUAGCCUUGGAUCAACACAAGAUUAGACAGAAGGUUACUGAGGAACACACGACCCUUGUAGCGCAGCC